Molecule: unclassified non-coding RNA, 253 nt
Filed under: uncultured Frankiales bacterium
Lineage: Bacteria; Bacillati; Actinomycetota; Actinomycetes; Frankiales
Description: contains 16S-23S intergenic spacer region
Rfam family: Bacterial small subunit ribosomal RNA
Source: RNAcentral
UACGUAGGGUGCAAGCGUUGUCCGGAAUUAUUGGGCGUAAAGAGCUCGUAGGCGGCGUGUCGCGUCGGCUGUGAAAACCCGAGGCUCAACCUCGGGCCUGCAGUCGAUACGGGCAGGCUAGAGUUCGGUAGGGGAGACUGGAAUUCCUGGUGUAGCGGUGAAAUGCGCAGAUAUCAGGAGGAACACCGGUGGCGAAGGCGGGUCUCUGGGCAGUAACUGACGCUGAGGAGCGAAAGCGUGGGGAGCAAACAGG